Molecule: long non-coding RNA, 612 nt
Organism: Balaenoptera acutorostrata (minke whale)
Lineage: Eukaryota; Metazoa; Chordata; Mammalia; Artiodactyla; Balaenopteridae
Exons: 4
Source: RefSeq, a predicted model, not a curated record
UGCAAAACCACAUUUGUCUCCAGAGUUUUCCAGACUGCAGAAGCCAAGGUGUAUAAAGAUGCAGCUAAUUUCAGAUGAAUACCCCAGGGCUCAGACUGUGAUACAUCUAUCUACCCAUGGCAGACCUCUCCCCUGAUUUCCAGCCCAUAAGUGUAUCCCACUGGGAAGUGACUGCACCAAAUUUGAGAUCAAGAUGGCUCAUUUCAUAUCAAACUUCUUAGUCGCAUCCUGUGGAUCCCAGGAUAAAGUUUACACCCUUCAGCCUGAUUUGCGAGACCGCACCACCUUGUCCCUGUGCAUCUCCAGCUCCAGCUCAUUCCAAUUCCUAGCACAUGUCUUAUGCACCGACCAUGCCACCCUCUUUGUGAAAAUGCUUGGUGUUUCCUGGGUCAAGGUUGGCUAAUAUUUGUAGCUCCAUAUAUAUUGCUAUGUGACCAGCUGGCUAAGCAAGACAUGGAGGCUGCACAUUGGAGAAUUCAGGAGGCUUUCCAUUGAAGGAAGUCAAGUCACUCAUGGCCAAAGCUUUCACCACUAUCCUAUUAAGAAUAUCCUAUUAACUGCUAACCUUAGUAGUUAACACACAACAAUUACAAAUGACUUAUAGACAUAUCA